GAUUAACGCUGGCGGCGUGCCUAACACAUGCAAGUCGAGCGGCAGCGAGUUUUACACUGAAUUCUGGAAGCUUCUAGUUGAAAGAGAAGAUUUAUUCAAGAAUUUUGUGUAAAAUGUCGGCGAGCGGCGGACGGCUGAGUAACGCGUGGGAACGUACCCCAAAGUGAGGGAUAACGCAUCGAAAGGUGUGCUAAUACCGCAUAUGGUCUUCGGAUUAAAGCCUUCGGGCGCUUUGGGAACGGCCUGCGUAAGAUUAGAUAGUUGGUGGGGUAAUGGCCUACCAAGUCGACGAUCUUUAACUGGUUUGAGAGGAUGAUCAGUCAGACUGGAACUGAGACACGGUCCAGACUCCUACGGGAGGCAGCAGUGAGGAAUCUUCCACAAUGGGCGAAAGCCUGAUGGAGCAACGCCGCGUGCAGGAUGAAGGCCUUCGGGUUGCAAACUGCUUUUAUAAGUGAGGAUUAUGACAGUAACUGAUGAAUAAGGAUCGGCUAACUACGUG
This 502-nucleotide ribosomal RNA is filed under the name uncultured bacterium. RNAcentral describes it as "partial 16S ribosomal RNA". It matches the Rfam family "Bacterial small subunit ribosomal RNA", at positions 28 to 507 of the family's 1533-position model. The record is from RNAcentral.